RNAcentral lists this ribosomal RNA (253 nucleotides) under uncultured bacterium. RNAcentral's name for it is "partial 16S ribosomal RNA". It matches the Rfam family "Bacterial small subunit ribosomal RNA", at positions 524 to 776 of the family's 1533-position model. The record is from RNAcentral.
UACGGGGGGGGCAAGCGUUGUUCGGAAUUACUGGGCGUAAAGGGCUCGUAGGCGGCCAACUAAGUCAGACGUGAAAUCCCUCGGCUUAACCGGGGAACUGCGUCUGAUACUGGAUGGCUUGAGUUCGGGAGAGGGAUGCGGAAUUCCAGGUGUAGCGGUGAAAUGCGUAGAUAUCAGGAAGAACACCCGUGGCUAAGGCGGCUCUCUAGUACGGUACUGACGCUGAGACGCGAAAGCGUGGGGAGCGAACAGG